UGUUAAAAUUUUCAUCUAUUUCUAUUGUUAAAACUUGGUGUAGUCGAGGAAUAAUCAAACAGUUACAUAUGUAUACCUUUUAUUGAUGUACAAAGACUAGUUUUAACAAUAGAAAUAGAUGAAAUUUUAAUA
Gossypium arboreum is the source of this 132-nucleotide non-coding RNA. NCBI's taxonomy places the organism in Eukaryota, Viridiplantae, Streptophyta, Magnoliopsida, Malvales, Malvaceae. The record is from Rfam.